GCACAACGCGAAGAACCUUACCACCUUUUGACAUGCCUGGACCGCCACGGAGACGUGGCUUUCCCUUCGGGGACGUAGGACACAGGUGCUGCAUGGCUGUCGUCAGCUCGUGUCGUGAGAUGUUGGGUUAAGUCCCGCAACGAGCGCAACCCUCGCCAUUAGUUGCCAUCAUUUAGUUGGGAACUCUAAUGGGACUGCCGGUGCUAAGCCGGAGGAAGGUGGGGAUGGACGUCAAGUCCUCAUGGCCCUUACAGGGUGGGCUACACACGUGCUACAAUGGCGACUACAGAGGGUUAAUCCGUUUAAAAAGUCGUACUCAGUUCGGAUUGUCCUCUGCAACUCGAGGGCAUGAAGUUGGAAUCGCUAGUAAUCGCGGAUCAGCAUGCCGCGGUGAAUAC
This 398-nucleotide ribosomal RNA is filed under the name uncultured bacterium. RNAcentral's name for it is "bacterial SSU rRNA". It matches the Rfam family "Bacterial small subunit ribosomal RNA", at positions 954 to 1369 of the family's 1533-position model. The record is from RNAcentral.